Sarcophilus harrisii (Tasmanian devil) is the source of this 1687-nucleotide long non-coding RNA. NCBI's taxonomy places the organism in Eukaryota, Metazoa, Chordata, Mammalia, Dasyuromorphia, Dasyuridae. The record is from Ensembl.
CGGGGAGGAGUUGGACGCGACUGAACAAGGAGACGCUCCUGGGAGACGGGGCAGGGCGUGGAGGCUGGCCUCGGAGGUCUGGGUUCAAGGCUUGCCUCCGCCACAGUGACUGGUGCCUGGGAAAGUAACGAGGGUGACGACGCGCUGGGAGAGGAACGACAAAUCACAAUAAAGUCGCCAGGGCGCUCCCGCGCCCCUAACUCGGGCAAGGCCUCGGCCACGGACCCCACACCGUUACGGGCGCGGGCGGGCCGGGGGCACCCCGCUCCCCGCGGCCCCUUUGGGGUUUCUCGCCGAGGCUGCGUUUUCUCCCCAGCCCGCGUUACAGAGGAGGAAGCUGAGGUGCGUAAAACUAAGGGCCUCGCCCACGUCCCGCGGCGGGGAAGUGUCUGGGGCCACAUUCGAACGCGGGCCCCCGAGCCGCCCCGGGCCCAAGCCCGGCUUUCCGUGCGCCGUAGCGCCACCUAGCCGCCGCAGGAGAGAGAGUCACAGCAAACGAGGGAGGGGCGGGGAGGCGGAGGCCGAGUGUUGGCUCAGGCCGGAACUAAGCAGGAACGGGAGGAGGGGCGGCCGGUCCGGGCCAGCGUCCGGGCCGAGAGCGUCGGGUAGGAGGGGAAGGCGGGCGCAGGACAUCCUAGCCGCUGGAAGGGGGAGGCUCGGCCGCGCUUCUCCUUCCAGGGGCUUCGUGACCACGAGACGUCUGUGUCUCGUGCAUUCUUACGUAAACGCCGGCCGAGAGACAAUCACGGAAAUGGGCCUUGUAAAGGGCCCUGAAGGCCGAAAAAGGGUCGCGGCUGUUACUCAGCCCCGGCGGUGCCCCCCCCCCCCCCCGCCCCCACGGAGACAGAGCCAGAGUCAGGAGCGGCCAAGUCCGAAUCCCGCUUGGGACGCCUGCUAGUUACGUCCGGGGCGUAAUUUAUCCUCUGCGUCUCCUUUUCUCCGUCUGGGAAACGCUCUGAAAAAUAAUGCUUGGCGCCUAAUUGUUCCUGCGUGCCCUGCGGCUCUGCGUGACAGGAUUGUUGCUGUUACUGCCUUUCCUGAGGCUUCUCUCUUCUCGGGAAAAUAGCCGCUUAUCAUCCUUUAUUAUCUUUGGACGGCCAGCAUUCUGUCCAUUGUGCCGCCUCGCUGCGCCUAAGCAAUAUUCUUGCAUUAUUUUUUCAAGACUAUUAAACAUAUUGUGGCAGCCGUUUGUAGUGGCCAGAAGCUGGAAACUGAGGGGAUGCCCAUCAAUGGGAGAACGGUUGGGUAAAUUGUGGUAUAUGAAUGUUAUGGAAUAUUACUGCUCUGUAAGAAAUGACCAGCAGGAUGAAUACAAAGAGGAUUGGUGAAACUUACAUGAACUCCUGCUGAGUGAAAUGAGCAGGACCAGGAGAUCAUUAUAUACCUCAACAGCGAUACUGUAUGAGGAUGUGCUCUGAAGGAAGUGGAUUUCUUCCGCAAAGAGAAGAUCUAACUCAGUUCCAAUUGAUCAAGGAUGGACAGAAGCAGCUACUCCCAAAGAAAGAACACUGGGAAAUGAGUGUAAACUGUUUGCAUCUUUGUUUUUCCUCCCGGGUUAUUUAUACCUUCUGAAUCCAAUUCUCCCUGAGCAACAAGAGAACUGUUCGGUUCUGCACACAUAUACUGUAUCCAAGAUCUACUGUAAUCUAUUUAACAUGUAUAGGACUGCUUGCCAUCUGGGGGAGAG